CGGACGGGUGAGUAAUGUCUGGGAAACUGCCUGAUGGAGGGGGAUAACUACUGGAAACGGUAGCUAAUACCGCGUAACGUCGCAAGACCAAAGUGGGGGACCUUCGGGCCUCAUGCCAUAAGAUGUGCCCAGAUGGGAUUAGCUAGUAGGUGGGGUAACGGCUCACCUAGGCGACGAUCCCUAGCUGGUCUGAGAGGAUGACCAGCCACACUGGAACUGAGACACGGUCCAG
This 232-nucleotide ribosomal RNA is filed under the name uncultured bacterium. Its description in RNAcentral is "partial 16S ribosomal RNA". It matches the Rfam family "Bacterial small subunit ribosomal RNA", at positions 99 to 334 of the family's 1533-position model. The record is from RNAcentral.